This 1354-nucleotide ribosomal RNA is filed under the name Campylobacter coli. Its description in RNAcentral is "bacterial SSU rRNA". It matches the Rfam family "Bacterial small subunit ribosomal RNA", at positions 68 to 1438 of the family's 1533-position model. The record is from RNAcentral. RNAcentral also lists the same sequence under 1 other name. Lineage: Bacteria; Pseudomonadati; Campylobacterota; Epsilonproteobacteria; Campylobacterales; Campylobacteraceae.
GAAGCUUCUAGCUUGCUAGAAGUGGAUUAGUGGCGCACGGGUGAGUAAGGUAUAGUUAAUCUGCCCUACACAAGAGGACAACAGUUGGAAACGACUGCUAAUACUCUAUACUCCUGCUUAACACAAGUUGAGUAGGGAAAGUUUUUCGGUGUAGGAUGAGACUAUAUAGUAUCAGCUAGUUGGUAAGGUAAUGGCUUACCAAGGCUAUGACGCUUAACUGGUCUGAGAGGAUGAUCAGUCACACUGGAACUGAGACACGGUCCAGACUCCUACGGGAGGCAGCAGUAGGGAAUAUUGCGCAAUGGGGGAAACCCUGACGCAGCAACGCCGCGUGGAGGAUGACACUUUUCGGAGCGUAAACUCCUUUUCUUAGGGAAGAAUUCUGACGGUACCUAAGGAAUAAGCACCGGCUAACUCCGUGCCAGCAGCCGCGGUAAUACGGAGGGUGCAAGCGUUACUCGGAAUCACUGGGCGUAAAGGGCGCGUAGGCGGAUUAUCAAGUCUCUUGUGAAAUCUAAUGGCUUAACCAUUAAACUGCUUGGGAAACUGAUAGUCUAGAGUGAGGGAGAGGCAGAUGGAAUUGGUGGUGUAGGGGUAAAAUCCGUAGAUAUCACCAAGAAUACCCAUUGCGAAGGCGAUCUGCUGGAACUCAACUGACGCUAAGGCGCGAAAGCGUGGGGAGCAAACAGGAUUAGAUACCCUGGUAGUCCACGCCCUAAACGAUGUACACUAGUUGUUGGGGUGCUAGUCAUCUCAGUAAUGCAGCUAACGCAUUAAGUGUACCGCCUGGGGAGUACGGUCGCAAGAUUAAAACUCAAAGGAAUAGACGGGGACCCGCACAAGCGGUGGAGCAUGUGGUUUAAUUCGAAGAUACGCGAAGAACCUUACCUGGGCUUGAUAUCCUAAGAACCUUUUAGAGAUAAGAGGGUGCUAGCUUGCUAGAACUUAGAGACAGGUGCUGCACGGCUGUCGUCAGCUCGUGUCGUGAGAUGUUGGGUUAAGUCCCGCAACGAGCGCAACCCACGUAUUUAGUUGCUAACGGUUCGGCCGAGCACUCUAAAUAGACUGCCUUCGUAAGGAGGAGGAAGGUGUGGACGACGUCAAGUCAUCAUGGCCCUUAUGCCCAGGGCGACACACGUGCUACAAUGGCAUAUACAAUGAGACGCAAUACCGCGAGGUGGAGCAAAUCUAUAAAAUAUGUCCCAGUUCGGAUUGUUCUCUGCAACUCGAGAGCAUGAAGCCGGAAUCGCUAGUAAUCGUAGAUCAGCCAUGCUACGGUGAAUACGUUCCCGGGUCUUGUACUCACCGCCCGUCACACCAUGGGAGUUGAUUUCACUCGAAGCCGGAAUACUAA